GGGGAAUUUUGGACAAUGGGGGCAACCCUGAUCCAGCAAUGCCGCGUGUGCGAAGAAGGCCUUCGGGUUGUAAAGCACUUUUGGCAGGAACGAAACGGUGCCGGAUAAUACCUGGCGCCACUGACGGUACCUGCAGAAUAAGCACCGGCUAACUACGUGCCAGCAGCCGCGGUAAUACGUAGGGUGCAAGCGUUAAUCGGAAUUACUGGGCGUAAAGCGUGCGCAGGCGGUUCGGAAAGAAAGAUGUGAAAUCCCAGGGCUCAACCUUGGAACUGCAUUUUUAACUCCCGAACUAGAGUAUGUCAGAGGGGGGUGGAAUUCCACGUGUAGCAGUGAAAUGCGUAGAUAUGUGGAGGAACACCGAUGGCGAAGGCAGCCCCCUGGGAUAAUACUGACGCUCAUGCACGAAAGCGUGGGGAGCAAAC
RNAcentral lists this ribosomal RNA (425 nucleotides) under uncultured bacterium. Its description in RNAcentral is "bacterial SSU rRNA". It matches the Rfam family "Bacterial small subunit ribosomal RNA", at positions 356 to 773 of the family's 1533-position model. The record is from RNAcentral.